Molecule: transfer RNA, 63 nt
Filed under: Neomenia carinata
Lineage: Eukaryota; Metazoa; Mollusca; Solenogastres; Neomeniamorpha; Neomeniidae
Description: tRNA-Cys
Source: RNAcentral
AUAAGCUAAUUAAGCUAUUGGGCUCAUACCCCAAACAUGGAAUUUUUUCCUUUCACUAUUUAC